AGCAUGCUCCGUCUGUCCGAAUUACUUGUCGCACAAAUAGAUGUGUUUAGAUAUAUUUUAGUUCUAGAUACGUUCAUUAUUAUUCAUUUCCGCGGCAAGUAAUUCAGGACGAAGGGGGUAUUAU
Molecule: non-coding RNA, 124 nt
Organism: Triticum aestivum (bread wheat)
Lineage: Eukaryota; Viridiplantae; Streptophyta; Magnoliopsida; Poales; Poaceae
Source: Rfam